This is a long non-coding RNA of Macaca fascicularis (crab-eating macaque), 1586 nucleotides long. The record is from Ensembl. NCBI's taxonomy places the organism in Eukaryota, Metazoa, Chordata, Mammalia, Primates, Cercopithecidae.
UGGUUGGUCACUCAUCACCACUGGCAACCCUAGCAUGGGGUGGCCAUCUCCACACGGACUCUCUCUCUGUUGUGUCCCAUCACACUCUCAGGCAGUCCUCUUGGGCAAGAUCUCUUUUCCUCUUUUUUAAAAACAGGGUCUUGCUAUGUUGCCUAAGCUGGAGUGCAGUGGCUAUUCAUAGGCGCAAUCAUAGCUCGCUGUGGCCUCCAACUCCUGGGCUCAAGCAGUCCUCCUGCCUCAGCCUCCCAAGUAGCUGGGACUGUAGUCACACCCCCACAGUGCCAGGCAAAAUCUCUUUAUAAAUGAUGCCAGGUCAGAAUUCAUACAUCAUGUUUCACCUCUGGUCCCAGAAAAUAAGCACCUUAGACCCACUGCUUGGGGAGCGCAGCUGCUUCUAAGGCAGCCUCGAAACCUUUUUUUUUCAAUGACAAAUUUAUUGAGAUAUAAUGCACAUAUCAUAAAAUUCAGCACUGAAGCACAUUUCCAUGGGUGUUAACAUAUUCACAAGGUUGCAUAACCAUCCCCUCUUUCUAAUUUCAAAUAUUUUCAUCACUCCAAAAAGAAACCCCUGACGCAUUAGCAAUCAUUCUGCAUUCCCUCCUUCUUCUAACCUCUGGAACCACCAAUCUACUUCCUGUUUCUAUGAAUUUUUUAUUCUGGACAUUUCAUAUAAAUGGAACUGUACAAGAUGUAGUCUUUUGUGUCUGCCUUCUUUAACUUAGCAUUAUGUUUUCAAGGUUCAUCCAUGUUGUAGCAUGAAUCAGAUCACCAUUUCUUUUUAUGACUGAAAAUAUUCCAUGGUUUGGAGAUACCACAUUUUGUUUAUUUAUGUUUGUUUAUUGAUGGACAUUUGGGUUGUUUCCAUUUGUUGGUUAUUAUGAAUAAUGCUACUAUGAGCAUUCAUGUGCAAGUUUUUGUAUGGACAUAUGUUUUCAUUUUUCUUGGGCAUAUACAUAGGAGCACAAUUGCCUGGUCAUAUGGUGACUCUAUGUUUAAAUUUUUGAGGAACUGCCAAACUGUUUUCCAAAAUGGCUGCACCAUUUUACAAUCCCAUCGCAAUGUAUGAGGGUUUCUAAUUUCUCCAUAUCCUGGCCAGUGCUUCCUGUUUUGUUUUCUUUGUUAUUUUACACAUCUAGCAGACAUGAAGUAGUAUUUCACUGAGGCUUUGAUUUGCAUUUUCCCAAACUACCAGAUGAUGUUGAGCAGCUGUUCAUGUACUUAUUAGUCCCUUGUAUAUCUUCUUUAGAGAAAGUCUAUUCAAAUCCUUUGCCCAUUGUUUUUCAAAUUCUAUUUUUGUUCAGGGGGUAAAUGUCCAGGUUUGACACAUUAGUAAAUUGUGUGUCACUGAGGUUUGGUGUACAAAUGAUCCCAUCACCCAGGUAGUGGGCAUAGGUAGUUUUUCAACCCUCACCCUUCUUCCAUCCUCCCUCCUCUAGUAGCCCCCAGUGUCAGUGGACAAGGCAGCUCCUGCCAAUGAGCCCAGCAUUUGGAAGGCCAGGGAAGGAGGAUUGCUUUUGCCCAAGAAUUUGAGAACAGCCAGGGCAACAUAGUGAGACUCUGUCUCUACAAAAAAAAAAAAAAAAAAA